UAAAUCCCAAUCUUGUUUGU
This 20-nucleotide unclassified non-coding RNA is filed under the name Mus musculus (house mouse). RNAcentral's name for it is "oocyte_clustered_small_RNA5193". The record is from RNAcentral. Lineage: Eukaryota; Metazoa; Chordata; Mammalia; Rodentia; Muridae.